Pan troglodytes (chimpanzee) is the source of this 280-nucleotide long non-coding RNA. RefSeq lists it as uncharacterized. The record is from RefSeq and is a predicted model, not a curated record. NCBI's taxonomy places the organism in Eukaryota, Metazoa, Chordata, Mammalia, Primates, Hominidae. The transcript has 3 exons.
GUGGGCGGAUCCUGGGCAGGUUGGCUGGGUCGGGCUGCCCGGGCGACGCCGGAGUUGCAGUUGGAGGCUGCGGGAAUACAAAGGGGUGGCUACCUUUCAAGAGGAACAAGAAAAGAGAGGUGGGAAUAUGGAACCAAGCCAAAGAUUCUGCAGGAUCCUGCACAGGUCUUGCUCUGUCACCCAGGCUGGAGUUCAGUGGCCCAUCCAUAGCUCACUGCAGCCUCGACCUCCUGGGCUUCAAAGUGAUCCUCCUGCCUCAGCCUGCCAAGCAGCUAGGACU